GUGCCAGCAGCCGCGGUAAUACGUAGGGAGCGAGCGUUGUCCGGAUUUACUGGGUGUAAAGGGUGCGUAGGCGGCUGAUCAAGUCAGAUGUGAAAUGCACAGGCUUAACCUGUGAGCUGCAUUUGAAACUGGUCAGCUUGAGUGAAGUAGAGGUAGGCGGAAUUCCCGGUGUAGCGGUGAAAUGCGUAGAGAUCGGGAGGAACACCAGUGGCGAAGGCGGCCUACUGGGCUUUAACUGACGCUGAGGCACGAAAGCGUGGGUAGCAAACAGGAUUAGAUACCCUGGUAGUCCACGCCGUAAACGAUGAUUACUAGGUGUGGGGGGUCUGACCCCCUCCGUGCCGCAGUUAACACAAUAAGUAAUCCACCUGGGGAGUACGGCCGCAAGGUUGAAACUCAAAGAAAUUGACGG
This 412-nucleotide ribosomal RNA is filed under the name uncultured bacterium. Its description in RNAcentral is "bacterial SSU rRNA". It matches the Rfam family "Bacterial small subunit ribosomal RNA", at positions 505 to 916 of the family's 1533-position model. The record is from RNAcentral.